ACGUGUAAGAUGAUUCAUGAAUGAUGGUAGCAUGGAGCACCGUCUAGAUCUAAGGAGAUAGGCUAUAAAUCUCAUCUUCCAUCUUCAUGUAACACACUUUGAAUGAUAUUGGUAUUGAACCCCUGAUGAGAAUACUCCAGGUCUUCAAUCUUCUUCAGAGUCACGGCCAGAGAGAGCUUCUUAGCCUCCUUUAGCCACCUUCCCUAGAUAGGCUUCCUUUCUAGGCUUCAAACUACACCAAAUCACAUCAGCCAUAUGCCACACAUUUCAUCGAGCACCUAGCGUGCAUUCGCUCAUUCCGCUGCUUCCUCCAUGUCCAAUCUUCUGUGCAACUCCAACGAGCAAGGAUCAAUCUCCAGUCAUCCAUGGAGGACAGUAUCAAUAGGCGUAUUUGAUACAUGAGCUUGGAAAACAGACUUCCAAUCAAUUGUGGCAGUGCUACUGUCAUUCAAUUCUGUCAUGAGUUCUUUUUAUAAAUUUCCAAUGAAUUUUGUGUAUACUGGUGCUAGUCGUGUUCCAAAUCAGUACAGGUUACUGUUGCAUCAAGGAUAGCACAUCAAAUAAGUGCAGUUGCACAGCUUGAGUGCUUAAACCAUAGUCACAAUUGUAAAUCUGCACUGUUGUCAGCUUAUCACCGUGCUAAACUUGGCUUUGAAUUACCAUUUCAAGUUUGCUUUCACCUAGCUGAUAUUUUCCAGCUUGGAUCAGUGUUAAUACGUAUUUUUGAGUUGUUUGUAUUCUUGUUUAGCCUUUUGAUUCAAUAAAACUCAGUUUGGGGUGUGAGGUUGCCUAAUUUUCCUGCAUAAGGGACUGUGAGAUGGUCAUAUUUUGAUGGAUGCUGUUUCAGUUCCAAUUCUAAGCUUAAACAACUUUAUUUUCAUAAAAUAAAGUUUCUGGAAUUGGUUAUUUGACCUUAAAGCCACUUGUGUGGAUUUUCACAUCUCAAAACCCCAUUCUAAGUUCAAUUUUCUGGUGCAAAUUGGCUACUGUCAACUCUAUUUUUAACUCCAAAAGUGCAAGAAAAAAAAUCAGUUUGGAUUGUAGUAAAAGCCAGAAUCUGUAAGAGACAAGGUGUAACAAGUUGAAAUGAAUAUAAGAGGCAAAUAGAUCCUGUGCAAUCCAGUUUUGCAACUUAAAAAUCAGAGAAUCCAAAUAUGUUAGAAAUCUGAAAGUCAUUCAGGACUUUCAUCAAACAAUUUUGAAAGUUGGAGUUAAAACUUGAUUUUCUUGAUUCUAAGCCAAUUUGCUUAAUUUUUCUUGCUUUCUUAAUCUUUUCUAGAGCCACUGGUAGGAUCAAAUUUGCGUGCNAGCCAUUUUCUUCAUCAGCUUUAUUUGAUUGAUUGUCUUAUUGGCUUGAUAGUUUUGUCUUUCAAUAUAAAUUCUGAUCAGCUUUUNAGAAAUCAGUUUGAUGCACUGUUUGAGUGGUAGUUGUGGCUGUUAUUAACAGUUUGGUGCAGUUUAGAAGGCUUGCAAGGAAACUAGAAAAGGGUAGAGUCUUAGGUGGUGGACGCUGAACCUCUAACUGGACGUGAAGCUGCCAGACCCGUGGAGUGCACCCUGAAUUAUUUUUUCAGCAAACACAAUUCUGUUUUGAGAGCUUUACGUGAGAACUAAAUCACAACCUACACCACUGCAGCUGAGAGCUUUGUGACUGUCUUCAUUACCGUGUUCUUUAUUCCAAAGAAUCCAAAGCUGCUUACCCUUUCUUUUACUGUCCUUUUGUUCAGCUAAUCAACUACUGCAACCACUGCAUUCUCUUCAGAAUUCAACAUUUAUUAAUCUGAUUUUUGUCAAAUAAACUUGUUGAAUUACACUUGUUGAGCUGAUCCAAAUCAGAAUUCCUCACAUCAUAUCUGUUACACUGUUUUGUUCAAUUUUGAAAUUCUGAUUUUGAUUAGUCUUGAUUACUUUCCAAAUUCCAAUUGCUAGUGCUUGUAUAUUGGUUGUUUUGGCAUGUUGCAGCUAGGCAGAAUUAAUCUGGAAAUUAUUUGAUAAUUAGCUGCAGUAGAGUCAUCAAGCUUCUUGUGAUAAACUGUGUGCACCAGAUUUGUGAACUGGUUUGAAAGCUAGAACAACAGCUUGAGAACAGAUUGGAACCUUUUUCCCACGUCAUUUGUUCAAAGCCGAGAGCAAACAAUUUUGGGCAAUCAUUGGAGAAUAACUAGGAUCUUUUCACUACAUCAAUUUUCCAAAGCCGAGAAAAGGGAGGAAUCUAUUACAGAAUGCACAUGAGCUAAAAGACCUAAGGAUACCAUAAUUAGAGUGCAUUUCUGCAGCAGGAUUUUGAGCACACCGUAAC
This 2299-nucleotide long non-coding RNA is filed under the name Vigna radiata. RNAcentral describes it as "long non-coding RNA (VRAD_LNC016613)". Lineage: Eukaryota; Viridiplantae; Streptophyta; Magnoliopsida; Fabales; Fabaceae. The record is from RNAcentral.